AGCUCUACUCACUCAUCAUCUUUGCUCACCCAGGAGACCCAUUGCUAUCCAACACCUUCACUGAGACCAACAACCACUGGCCCCAGGGACCCACUGGGCCUCCAGGCCCUCCAGGGCCCAUGGGUCCCCCUGGGCCUCCUGGCCCCACAGGUGUCCCUGGGAGUCCUGGACACAUAGGACCCCCAGGCCCCACUGGACCCAAAGGAAUCUCUGGCCACCCAGGAGAGAAGGGCGAGAGAGGACUGCGUGGGGAGCCUGGCCCCCAAGGCUCUGCUGGGCAGCGGGGGGAACCUGGCCCUAAGGGAGACCCUGGUGAGAAGAGCCACUGGGGGGAGGGGUUGCACCAACUACGCGAGGCUUUGAAGAUUUUAGCUGAGAGGGUUUUAAUCUUGGAAACAAUGAUUGGGCUCUAUGGUGAGUAGAGACAGACAGACGGACAGACGGCCCAGCCCCUGCCUGCCAGCCUUCCCCAAGCCCUCCUGGGGUGGAACUGGCCUGAGCCCAGUCAUGAGGCUGGAGAAGGUGCCUGCCCCAGGCAAGCAUGGACCUGAGAGGCCACAACCACCCUUCCCUCAAUGACUGGUUCCCUCCUCCACGGGUGCAGGGGUGCCCCAGAAACCCGGGCCCUGCUGCUGUGGUCAGACCUGGGCCUCUAAGCAUUAUGGGUAGUGUGGUUUCUAGGCCUGCAGGGAACCAGAGAUGAAAGAUUUCAAGUUUGGAAGAAAUUAUGGGCAAUGGAACCAAACUCCACUCCAGCAGUGGGAUUGUGGGUAACAGAGCCAGACUCCUGCAGUGUAAGGAAUCAUGGGGAAUCCAAUCACAGCUCAGGGCAACAGGAGGAUUAUAGGUAAUGGAUCCAGACUCUAGUCAGCCUUCAGCUCUAGAGAAAUCAUGGGUAACAGAGUCAGGCCCGCAAGACAAUAGGUCAUGGA
This 932-nucleotide small RNA is filed under the name Pongo abelii (Sumatran orangutan). RNAcentral's name for it is "retained intron". The record is from RNAcentral. Lineage: Eukaryota; Metazoa; Chordata; Mammalia; Primates; Hominidae.